AAAAGAAAACAAUAGUGAUGCCUCUAGUAACGGCGAGUGAAGCAGGCAAAGCCCAACUUUAAAAUCUGGCGCUUUCAGCGUCCGAGUUGUAGUCUCGAGAAGCAUGGCUCGUGUCGGUCCGCGUCAAACUGGUUCGGAUGCCAGGUCAUAGAGGGUGACAAUCCCGUUGGCAACGNGGCCUCCCGAUGCAUCAGCAGUCUGCUCUCCAAGAGUCGAGUUGUUUGGGAAUGCAGCUCUAAUUAGGUGGUAAAUUCCAUCCAAGGCUAAAUAUCGGCGGGAGACCGAUAGCGAACAAGUACCGUGAGGGAAAGAUGAAAAGCACUUUGGAAAGAGAAUGAAAGAGUAUGUGAAAUUGCUGGAAGGGAAACGCUUGAAGUCAGAUACGCGCGGGGGUAUUCAGCCUGGUUCGCCGGGUGCAUUUGCCCUCAUUGCGCGCCAGCAUCGGUUCGUGGGGCCGCAGCAGCGCGGUGGGAAUGUGGCCGUCUCCGGGCGGUGUUAAGCCCGCCGUUGUGGUCGGACCCGUGGACCGAGGAUCGCAGUGCGCCGCAAGGCAGCUCUCGAGGGAGUAAAGCACUUAGGAUGCUGGCGGAAUGGCUUUAAACGACCCGU
Molecule: ribosomal RNA, 609 nt
Filed under: Agaricostilbomycetes sp. TY-263
Lineage: Eukaryota; Fungi; Basidiomycota; Agaricostilbomycetes
Description: eukaryotic LSU rRNA
Rfam family: Eukaryotic large subunit ribosomal RNA
Source: RNAcentral